GUUCCUCCACCAAAAUCCUCCUGAAAUGAGAAGCAAUACUACUGAACAUAAUGCAACCUUUUGCAUGGCUGCCCAACAUGACUAUAAAUCUGUGUGUGCAGUGUUUGGGAAAGUUACAUGGCUGGGAAACCGAUGCCCUGCUUUCAUCUGGAAUUUAUGUGCAGUGUUCAGUAGGCCUCUAUUGGAGCUACUAACCAAAAAAUGAAAAGGAACUAGACCCAGAGAGGAUCAAAUGUGUAAAUGCCAAUUCAGAGAGGUGAGCAAAGCAGGAAGAAAGAAAGAAGGAGGGGAGGUCAAGAUGAGAACUCUGCUGACUCCUGAUUCUCCAAGAAUGGAGAAGAUCAGGGAAAGUCUGAAUGAAGGCCAGCAGGCAGUAUCAGCCGAACCAAGAAGGGCCAUAAAGCUGCAGACCAGGAAAUCUGCCCUCUGAGAGCACAGAAUUUAGAAUGGACAGCAAAUUUAGUAAAAGUAGGUGUUCCAGCUAGAAGAUUUGGAUGAAAAGUGAUUCCAAAAAAAUGAGGCAAUCUCAUCCCGAAACUAUUUAAAACUACUCUCCUCUCUCUUGAUAAACCGUCAGUAGGAAGUGUGUCGUUUAUUCCCUCACUCCACACUGGAUUCAUAUGGGCUGAUAGCAGCAGGAUUAAAAAUUUUUUUCAUCAUGAGUUAAAUCCCUAAGAUUUAGAGUAUUUUGUUUGUCUGAAUGUCUAAGCGGUACAAACCUUAGCAAUCCAUAUUAAAAUGGAGAAUUCCUUCUUUUGGUAUUCACAAGCAUAACAUACAUAAUCCUUUA
Molecule: long non-coding RNA, 790 nt
Filed under: Homo sapiens (human)
Lineage: Eukaryota; Metazoa; Chordata; Mammalia; Primates; Hominidae
Description: HSALNT0203596
Source: RNAcentral